CAACAGGCACGUACGGUACGUACGGCGAGCGCCAGCUUGGCUCGGUCGGCAGGGCGAGGUCCGCCAGGCUCUAACUACGCAGUUCGGCAGCCAUUGCUUCGAACUGUCCUUGUCCGCAGCCCCCCAGACCGUCGCGUGGCCCCCACCUCGCCAUGCCUCCGCCUCGUCGGCUUCUAGAACCGCAGCAGCUCCCGAGAAGCAGGCCUGGAGGCCUUUCGGGGAGCAGCGAAGUGGGGUGUGAGCAUGAUAAUGGGAGAGUUUCCUGUUGGCCUUUGCAUAUGUGGAGCCUAGAACAGCCUCUGGCAUGUGCACCUAGAAGAUCCUUCCUAAAUUCCUACAGAAUGAAUGCUUGACUCGAAGGACAUGAGUCUAGGAACGGUGACAGUAGAAGAAGCCAUGAACCUGGAGAGGAGAAUCUCUGCUUUGGAGCCCUGCCCUUGCAUCAGCUCCCAUGGAUCCAGUGGUCUCAGGGCUGAUUUGCCUCAAAUACCAGAUCUUCUGUCAUGACCUCCAGGGCAGCUAGGUGAUAGCUGUGGAGAAAGGAGAACUGCGGUUCAAGUCUGGCCUCAGGCACUUGACACAUGCUACCUGUGUGACCUUAGCACUACUGAAGAGAAAAUCCAGAGACUGGAUCUGGAACUUCAGUGGUGUGGGACAACUGCCAAAGCAGGUCAGAAUCUUCCUAAGAGGAUUGGAGUGCCACAGGUUCAUGAACCUAAUGUUCAGCAUGUGUAGGCCCCCAGAUGCUGUGCUUGGUGCUGGGGAAAGGAAGAGGAGAGGAGACACCUCAAUGAAGUUGUAGUCUUCGGGGCUAUAGGGGUAGGUCAUUUAUACAGAUAAAAGUAAAACAAAGGCGGAGAGUGGGGGAAGACGGAGAGAGAGUGAGUGAGGGAAGUACAGGAGAAUUCUUUUCUCCGAGUACUUCAGGAAAACACAGCAAGAAGAAAACUCUGCUGGGAAGGUUACAUUAUAGGCCUUUGAGGAAGAGAAGGGAUUUAAAGAGCAGGGAAGAAAGAAUAUUCUGGUAGUUUGCUCAGCCUUUUACAUAUGUCAGACUGGAGAAUGUCACCAUGGGGAGUCAUCAAAGACUUAAGAAGGGGAAAGACAUGCUUAGACUUUUAUUAUAGGGAUGUGAUUUUUCCAGAGGUGUAUGGCAUGGUACAGAUUAGCAGCACAGACUAUUGAGGAGACGAUUGCAGUCCUGUUGAACUAGGGUGGGGUUUUUGGGAGUCACAUAACAGACUGGUGGGAGAGAUAUUUUGGAAGUACCAUAAGACUUGGCACCUGAUUAGAUGUGGGGGCUAAAGGAGAAGGAAGAUAGUUUUUUUAAAUGUACACUGUAGGCAGGGGAUUCAAAAAAUAAAUUUGGAAAAGUUAUCUCAGAUAGUGGUUUACUUUUGUGUAAAACUGAACCUCGUCAACCCUGCUUUUCUCCUGACUGUGCCUCAAGGUUCUUCAGGACUGCCUCACUAAGCUUCCCCUUCCCCCUUUUCAACUCCCUUUUUUGUGUUGUCUUCCCUUUAUUAGAACAUAAGCCCCUUAAGGGCAGAGAGUUUUUUUUGGUUUAUUUUUGUAUUUCUAAGUACUUAACACAGUGGUCAGGUACAUUGUAAGAGCCAGUAAUUCUUGACUGC
This is a long non-coding RNA of Sarcophilus harrisii (Tasmanian devil), 1634 nucleotides long. NCBI's taxonomy places the organism in Eukaryota, Metazoa, Chordata, Mammalia, Dasyuromorphia, Dasyuridae. The record is from Ensembl.